This 253-nucleotide ribosomal RNA is filed under the name uncultured bacterium. Its description in RNAcentral is "partial 16S ribosomal RNA". It matches the Rfam family "Bacterial small subunit ribosomal RNA", at positions 524 to 776 of the family's 1533-position model. The record is from RNAcentral.
UACGAAGGGGGCUAGCGUUGUUCGGAAUUACUGGGCGUAAAGCGCGCGCAGGCGGUCUUCCAAGUCAGUGGUGAAAGCCCGGAGCUCAACUCCGGAACUGCCAUUGAAACUGUUAGACUUGAGGAUGAGAGAGGUGAGUGGAAUUCCCAGUGUAGAGGCGAAAUUCGUAGAUAUUGGGAAGAACACCGGUGGCGAAGGCGGCUCACUGGCUCAUUUCUGACGCUCAGGCGCGACAGCGUGGGGAUCAAACAGG